Molecule: long non-coding RNA, 442 nt
Filed under: Lathyrus oleraceus (garden pea)
Lineage: Eukaryota; Viridiplantae; Streptophyta; Magnoliopsida; Fabales; Fabaceae
Description: Pisum sativum (pea) long non-coding RNA (PSAT_LNC038488)
Source: RNAcentral
CCGAGUGAAACCAACAAUUUCAUCUGUAAAUGAGCACCCGGAUCUAUCAGUGAACAGACUCUGGAAUGUACCCGAGAAAUGAUAUGCAUGCAGAGAUUAGCUUUUUCUUUUUUUCAUUUUUCUUUCAAAAUUUUUUUUUUGCAUUUCUUUUGAAAAAUAAACAUGAUGUGAUGCACAUGAUGCAGACACGACUGGCAAGCUGUGCAUCUCUGAACACAGGAUCGAAGCUUCGGCUCGAGAUCUGAACAACAAUCAUCUGAAACCCAAAGUCAACUGGUCAACUGUCAUCUGAACCCAAUCUGAGGAACCGAGUCACCAACGGAGCAACCUUAAAUUCAGCCCAGGGAUCCGAAAUAAACGGAACCCUCUGAUCAAUACCGGGGUCAAACCUCCGGCGUCCAGAAAUAACGAUCCAUAAAUCCGACUUAUAAAUAUGACUCUG